GCCUCGGUGGGUGGUGUAGUAGUUAGAGCACGCGUCCCCGGAUAGGAUGAAACGCGGGUUCGAUUCUCGCCUGAGACC
Non-coding RNA from Parelaphostrongylus tenuis, 78 nucleotides. The record is from the annotation of a GenBank genome assembly. NCBI's taxonomy places the organism in Eukaryota, Metazoa, Nematoda, Chromadorea, Rhabditida, Metastrongylidae.